This 253-nucleotide ribosomal RNA is filed under the name uncultured bacterium. RNAcentral describes it as "partial 16S ribosomal RNA". It matches the Rfam family "Bacterial small subunit ribosomal RNA", at positions 524 to 776 of the family's 1533-position model. The record is from RNAcentral.
UACGUAGGGUGCAAGCGUUAAUCGGAAUUACUGGGCGUAAAGCGUGCGCAGGCGGUUAUGUAAGACAGGGGUGAAAUCCCCGGGCUUAACCUGGGAACUGCAUUUGUGACUGCAUAGCUAGAGUACGGUAGAGGGGGAUGGAAUUCCGCGUGUAGCAGUGAAAUGCGUAGCUAUGCGGAGGAACACCGAUGGCGAAGGCAAUCCCCUGGACCUGUACUGACGCUCAUGCACGAAAGCGUGGGGAGCAAACAGG